UACGUAGGGGGCAAGCGUUAUCCGGAUUUACUGGGUGUAAAGGGGGCGCAGACGGCGAUGCAAGCCAGGGGUGAAAGCCCGGGGCCCAACCCCGGGACUGCUCUUGGAACUGCGUGGCUGGAGUGCAGGAGGGGCAGGCGGAAUUCCUGGUGUAGCGGUGAAAUGCGUAGAUAUCAGGAGGAACACCGGUGGCGAAGGCGGCCUGCUGGACUGCAACUGACGUUGAGGCCCGAAAGCGUGGGGAGCAAACAGG
Molecule: ribosomal RNA, 253 nt
Filed under: uncultured bacterium
Lineage: Bacteria
Description: partial 16S ribosomal RNA
Rfam family: Bacterial small subunit ribosomal RNA
Source: RNAcentral